CUUUGAAAUAAUUCUAUGUAGAUAUUGGCUGUCAGUCGGCUAGAACAAUUGAUCAGGAAACAUCUCUGUCUUCACAAAUUACCUGAUAUGUUGAGUAAUGUGAGUAUAACACGAAUUUCAUAUUUGUUUAUGUUCAGUUUCAACCCUAAGAAACACUAAGUGAACAGAAGAAAUUGCACAUAACUGAAGAGUCUGGUAGGAAAACAGAAAAUGCGCGCACACACCUCAAAUACCAAGUCACACUGUUUCCUCUGCUUUAAAACUUAACAUUAGAUUUCCGACAACCCUCUCUCCACCACUGCAUACUAACUCUGGAAAUUUAGAUUCCCUUGCCCAAUUCCACAAGCAACCUUUGGAUCUUCUGCAAGUUUCCUUGCCUCUUAUCUUUGACACAAUGUGAGUAUCCUAAGCUUCAUUAAUAUCCAUUGAUGAAGGCUGAGGCAAGCGGAUCACUUGAGGUCAGGAGUUCCAGACCAACUUGGCCAGCAUGGUGAAACCCCAUCUCUACCAAAAAAUACAAAAAUCUGCCAGGCAUGGUGGUGCAACAUAAGACAAGCUUUGAGUAGCAAAAGAUUG
RNAcentral lists this long non-coding RNA (576 nucleotides) under Homo sapiens (human). RNAcentral describes it as "HSALNT0395650". The record is from RNAcentral. Lineage: Eukaryota; Metazoa; Chordata; Mammalia; Primates; Hominidae.